Camelina sativa (false flax) is the source of this 766-nucleotide long non-coding RNA. RefSeq lists it as uncharacterized. Lineage: Eukaryota; Viridiplantae; Streptophyta; Magnoliopsida; Brassicales; Brassicaceae. The record is from RefSeq and is a predicted model, not a curated record.
CCUUAUCUUCCACCUAAAGAUCAUCUAAGAGUUUCUUUUCAAGUUUUCAAGCCAUUGAAGAAGAAAAAACCAUUCAAUGAAGCAUUAUUUCUACAAUGAGUGGAGAAAUAACAAGCUGUUUUAAACAAGUUUCCAAUGACCUAAAACAAACGGCAAUAAAAACACCAACGUUCCAAAGACCUAAAUAUCUGAGUUCAUCAUCUAGAAAAACCUGUUGAUGGAUAAUUGAGUUUGGUUAUACUUUGGAGGGCACAUGCUGACUACAUCUGUUGGAUUGGCUUCUUACCCAUUGUGGAAGAGAUGGAUUAUUUUAUGAUGAAGUGAAGCAGUUCUUGGAUUGGGGAGGGAUCUAAGAUUAACAAUCUGAGAGGGAUAAAGCUGUGAGGUAAGCUAGAAGUGAUAUUUUCUUGUCAAUCGCUUCAUUAUGGAUAAGUAUUACAAAGGUUCAAACUUUGAGAUACUCUUGUUGUGUGGAUACAAGAAAGCGGGUCUGCCCAAGACAUUGUACAAUGGUUUCUCCUUUUAACACGGAUAAUGUGGAUUUUAUUACUUGGUUGCUGCAACCUUUCUACUGUUCUUGUUAGGCUCUUAUAGACUAUGUUUUGUCAUCUUCUUCACCUUGUGCUUCUUUUCUUCAUCUUCUUCUCACUUAACUCCUUUCUCUUUGUUGAAGGUUAAUCUCAACACUUAGCUCGGUUUGUUUUUGUAUUGCAAUUUCCCCAUAUGUUCAAUACAAAAAGAAUAAACACUUCGUCCUUUCUGUGAA